RNAcentral lists this transfer RNA (85 nucleotides) under Candidatus Omnitrophota bacterium. Its description in RNAcentral is "tRNA-Ser". It matches the Rfam family "tRNA". Rfam says of the family: Transfer RNA (tRNA) molecules are approximately 80 nucleotides in length. Their secondary structure includes four short double-helical elements and three loops (D, anti-codon, and T loops). Lineage: Bacteria; Pseudomonadati; Candidatus Omnitrophota. The record is from RNAcentral.
GGAGAGAUGGCAGAGUGGUCGAAUGCGGUCGUCUCGAAAGCGACUAUCCCGCAAGGGAUCGCAGGUUCAAAUCCUGCUCUCUCCG